GACGAACGCUGGCGGCGUGCUUAACACAUGCAAGUCGAACGGAAAGGCCCUGCUUUUGUGGGGUGCUCGAGUGGCGAAAGGGUGAGUAACAAGUGAGUAACCUGCCCUUGACUUUGGGAUAACUUCAGGAAACUUGGGCUAAUACCGGAUAGGAGCUCCUGCUGCAUUGUGGGGGGUGGAAAGUUUCGGCGGGUGGGGAUGGACUCGCGGCUUAUCAGCUUGUUGGUGGGGUAGUGGCUUACCAAGGCUUUGACGGGUAGCCGGCCUGAGAGGGUGACCGGCCACAUUGGGACUGAGAUACGGCCCAGACUCCUACGGGAGGCAGCAGUGGGGAAUAUUGCACAAUGGGCGGAAGCCUGAUGCAGCAACGCCGCGUGCGGGAUGACGGCCUUCGGGUUGUAAACCGCUUUCGCCUGUGACGAAGCGUGAGUGACGGUAAUGGGUAAAGAAGCACCGGCUAACUACGUG
This 468-nucleotide ribosomal RNA is filed under the name uncultured bacterium. RNAcentral describes it as "partial 16S ribosomal RNA". It matches the Rfam family "Bacterial small subunit ribosomal RNA", at positions 28 to 507 of the family's 1533-position model. The record is from RNAcentral.